AUGUAAUGUAGCAUACCCGUUUGAUGUUUAACUCUGAUGAUUAUUUUAUAUUUAAUAUAUUUGGGAUAUCGGGGUGUUACAAUUAA
This is a microRNA precursor of Medicago truncatula (barrel medic), 86 nucleotides long. It matches the Rfam family "MIR2617 microRNA precursor family". The record is from Rfam. NCBI's taxonomy places the organism in Eukaryota, Viridiplantae, Streptophyta, Magnoliopsida, Fabales, Fabaceae.